UGGGGAAUAUUGCACAAUGGGCGCAAGCCUGAUGCAGCAACGCCGCGUGAGGGAUGACGGCCUUCGGGUUGUAAACCUCUUUUAGCAGGGAGGAAGCGAAAGUGACGGUACCUGCAGAAAAAGCACCGGCUAACUACGUGCCAGCAGCCGCGGUAAUACGUAGGGUGCAAGCGUUGUCCGGAAUUAUUGGGCGUAAAGAGCUCGUAGGCGGUCUGUCGCGUUUGCUGUGAAAUCCCGAGGCUCAACCUCGGGCCUGCAGUGGGUACGGGCAGACUAGAGUGCGGUAGGGGAGAAUGGAACUCCUGGUGUAGCGGUGGAAUGCGCAGAUAUCAGGAAGAACACCGAUGGCGAAGGCAGUUCUCUGGGCCGUAACUGACGCUGAGGAGCGAAAGCGUGGGGAGCGAACAGGAUUAGAUACCCUGGUAGUCCACGCCGUAAACGUUGGGCGCUAGAUGUGGGGCACCAUUCCACGGUUUCCGUGUCGCAGCUAACGCAUU
RNAcentral lists this ribosomal RNA (497 nucleotides) under uncultured bacterium. Its description in RNAcentral is "partial 16S ribosomal RNA". It matches the Rfam family "Bacterial small subunit ribosomal RNA", at positions 355 to 861 of the family's 1533-position model. The record is from RNAcentral.